CGCCUCCCUCAGCGCGGCGGGAUGGGCAAGCGGCGCCGGGGCCGGGAGGGCGGCCGUUGGGUCCGAGCCGCCCGCCCCGGGCAGCGCCGUGAGGGGCCGCGCCUUGUAGCCGGGCCUCUGCCGUUACCUGGGAGAGCCGGGGAGAGAACCUCAGAGUCUGAACCUUGAGAAAUUGUGAUGGAGUGGCAACACAGAAGGAUUUAGUCAACAUCUUUCACACAAGGACUUUCAGACUGCAGGACCAGAUCCUUAGACAGCAUAAAAGGACACAGAUCCAUGGAACUGAACAGAGUUCACCUCCUUCACUAGAGAAAGCACAGAAACACAGAAAUGUUGGUUGGAAGAGUCCUCUGAAGGCCCAAGCUCAUCCAGGCUCACGCUUAACACAGGGCUAUUGCACUAGGUCAGCUGCCUGGACUUGCCUGUUGGGAAGCAAAUGUAGAUUGACUUUGCCUUCAAACACCAUAUGAGGAAACUCACUCAGCCCUCACCAACUGAUCUCGGGGGCCUGUGGAAUGAUAAAAGCUCAAGUUAUCAAAGUAUCUGUAAACUGCCUUCUGAUUUCAAGCUGGAGCACCUCCCUGAAUCUGGACCCUUUGAUUUAAGGUGGCUGCUUUCUUUCACCAUGUCUCAACAGGCAGAAAAGGGCAUAACUUUAAUUCCUGUUGGCUCAGUCAUAUUAGCUCAACAUGACUGAAAAGCCCUCUUCACCUCCAGAAACGCAGAACUGAAUGUGGAUCUACAUUAGAAUCUUCUGCCUGUGUAGUACAAACAGUGUGUUCCUGGUGUGAACUGAGAGGCAUUGGGCUCUGUGGGAGUGAUCUGCUUCUUGGAAUUUAUUUCACAUGGCUGUGAGUGGCUCAGCAAGGUAGGAUGGGAAAAAAGAAACAGGCCCAAACCUCCAAAUGACUCUGAAAGACUGAAGGAGCCUAGCGAUGAGUCCUCACAUCUCCUGCUUCCCCAAGAGAAUGGAAACCUUUCCAAGGGAGCUGAUAUAUCUACCGCCAGCGUUAAGCAUUUUGUGUUUUGUUUUUUUUAAAGAAAAGCCAAAUUACACUAGGAAGUAUCACCUGCCCAAUUUUAAGUCAAAACAAAUAAAUAGUCUUGGGUUUUGCCUUUAAUUUCCUGUCCAGUGCCAGCUUUCCUGAGCCCAGCAUGGGUCUUUUGUGAAAUGCUCUGAGGAUUUUGGGGACAGGAAGUGGCCCCAUCACCUCCACGGCAACUGAUGAAGUGCAGAAGAGCUCCAGCAGCUAAGGAGCCCGCAUCCCAACAGCUAUCCAAAUAACUUUCCCUGUGAACGGAACUACUUCCUCUGGAUAAUACACUGUUUUGCUAGCUGCUGGAGAAGUGGAGUCCCCCCAGAUGCCUAAUGCCUGUGUACUGCCCAUGGCUGCUGCUCUGUGAAUGAGGAACCAUCUCCCAAUCAUGGUGUGUGACAGCACAGCUUGGAUUUAGCAGUUCUAUGAGAUUUAAAAAAUCAAACCAGCUAAUCAAGAUUUAAAACAGUGCUGGAUUGGAAAGACUAGCAAGUGGUCCAGCUGUGAGUUAAUUCAUUAGUUGCAGUAAAUAUUGCUUGAGGAGAUUGUCAAAAGGAAAUGUGAAGCAUCUGAAAAGAAAUGUCCUUAAAGUGAAUGUCAGAAGAUUUUGCAGCUGUCAUCCCGUGGACUGGGAGACUCUGGGCUUUGGAGAGAAGACGGGUGAAAGAAAUAAAAAACUGAGUAGAGGAUAAAGUACCAGUUCCCACUGAGUGAUUAUAAAGGAAACAAUCUUACCACUACAGGGACCUAAUUAGAGACUGAAUCUCAAAACUGUCUAAUAUCUCCUCCAGGACACUGAGAAACCCAAACUAGCUAAAGCAGUCUGUUCAGACCAGCAGCUUUAGGAGACUCUGCAGCUUCAGGGGCACACUGAAAUUCCAGGCUUAUAUAGCUGUGGGUGUUUCCAGUGUUCCUGAACCCUUUAGUCUGUUCAGCACUCACUUCGGACCAGGGAGGCAACUUCAUUUUCUUGCCUGGUGUGGCCAGCACAGCAUCAUCCUGGUCCUACAGAAGACAACAACAGGCUCUGACUGCUGUGUGCCUGAGCCUUGUGUAGGAAAGGCACCAGGACCUGUUUUCGCAGGCAAAUAUAAGAAUUAAUGAUCAACAUUAACAUGAGAGAAUUUCACCUUUCUAUGACUGAUCUGAUGAAUCACUGCUUCUGUUGGUCUCCAUAAUGUGCAGAUCAGGUGUGGGUCCUCAGGCCUUCCUGGAGAUGCCAGUCCUGUCAGUCAGUGGUUGCAUGCAUUGGUUCGCUUAAGCCUUGGUGCAGGGCUCAGCUCUCCCACCUCGCUCCACCUAUUGUCCACCUGAGACACUGUCACCCUUCUCCCCCUCCUUUUGGAAAUGUGGAAACACUGGCCAUAGUCUGAGGCUAACUUUUGGCAGCAAUGCCCAUCCCUGCUCUAGCUGCUCACUUCUACCUCUGAGAUGCAGUGCAUCACCUCUUCAGCACUGUGCAGAGCAGGGACCUCCCCAUGUUAGGUGUUUUUUUUUUCCUUUGUUUGGUGAUUUUUCUAAGCAGCCACGAGUUUUUUCUGGCUUUUAUUUAAGACUGGUCCUCAGCACUCCCGUCCUGAUGCCAGGAAGGGCUGCAUUGACAGGAGCCAUGCUCUGGUGUGAGUGAGCAGCAUGGUGAGCAGAAAGGAAUUAUUUUAGCUGGUAUUGCCAUUAAAAUCCCUUUUCAUGUAACCCUGCCCCCAUAGAGUGAUUCUGUGCAGGUGAGGCUUCAGGGGUUUGUUCCAGUGUCACUACUACUAGCAGCCAUGUUUUUCUGUAGCAGGAUUUUCCAGGCGUAGGGAGGGCUGUGCAUACUGAGCCCACUCAGGGAGCUCAGAGCUCCUGGGAAGAGCAGGGAUGACCGCUUGGGAUGGGUAGAUGUAUCAUGUAUUGGGGGGAGUGGUUUAUGUGUCUCCUCUGGGGUGGGGAGGAGGUAAGUGACCUGCCCAGAGAGAGCUCAGCGCUGCUAUCAUGAGACAAGGACAUUUUCAUAACCGAGGUAAAUAAACAGAUUACUUUUUUUGCUCUAGGGAGAUAAUUUCUUCUGUGCUACUAGCCUGAGACCGUUUCUUGGCUUAGCCAGUAUUCCUACCGUAUGCAACAAGCCUUAACCACUGCAUUUGAGGCUGUUAUUCAUUUGGGGCCAAUAUGAAACAUUUCUGGCAUUUCUUUUCCUUUUUUCUGGCCCUUACAUAUUGCUAAUGUCUCCACUUCUGUAUAUAUGUUUUCUUCUCUAACAUUUCAGUUCUCCUCUCUUAUAAUAUUUUAAAUCCUUAAUUGCCUGGUGCUGCAGAUGGAGAGUAUUAGUUACCUUCCAUCACCACUCUGGCCACGAUGACUUCCUUCACUUGACAAGUUGAUUACUUUGUCAAGGUGAAUGUUGAGUCUGUCUGGAGCAUCUCUGUGUGUCUUGUGCCAGAUUGCAAUUGCAAGCUGGUUUCUUAUCGGACAUGCUGUUUCUCCAGACACAGAAUAUGAGGAGUAAAACUGGGAUUUUUGAGGGGCUUUUUUCCCACUUCCCUACUGAGAUUGAUGUUGCUUCACUUUAUAGCAAUAGGAUUUAGAUGGCUAUAUCUCUAAAUGUGACAAACUAAUGCAUGGCAAGCAAACCCAACUGAUGAAAUUCCAUUGAUAAAGAAAAUUCCCAUCCUGGCAACCACCCAGCAAAGUCCACAAGUGGCGAUUAGGAGUUAAUAAUAACUGCUCCAAGUCUGCCAAAGCUGCUGGAGAUGUGACUAACAGACACCUCCAUGGAGCCAAAGAAUUGUUGCAGUGCCUGCUCCCUGCUGUCCUGCAUCAGCAUGUGCAGAAGGGGAGCGUCCUGGGUGAGCGGUGGGGCUGACAGGCUCCCCAAAGUGCCAGUUACAGGCAGUAGGGGCCAGAAAGGAGCCUUUGAGAAAGCAUUGCAAAAUUGGCUGAACACUAUCUAGGCUCUUUAAGGUAGGAAAAAAUUUCCUCUCCAUUGCACAGUAGGAUAUCUCUGGGGUUCGUGUCUCAGAUCUUGCCAUCAACAUGUGAGUCCCUAGCUCCCCUUCACAGAUCCAGUGCACAAUGCGGGAUCCAGUUAUGUCUCUGUCUACCAAAGUGGCUAUGCACAGCACCAAUCCUUGCCUCCUUACGCCAUGCACAUGCCAUCUAAGCCUCCAGAGACCUUCAAAUGGUUGUGUUGUGCUUGACCCCUAAAAGAGGGUAGACAGCAGUUGCAGCAUAGAAGCUGUAGCAUUAACAUUGUUUUCAGGUGGUCCAGUGGAUAUAAUUGAGGCAAAACAGCAAAACCCAAGUAAAUUAAAUGCAUUUCAUAGCAGCUCCUGAGGGAGAACGGGUCGCAUUUUUUGUGAGCUGCAAGCCAGGUGAAGAGGGCUGGAUCUUCAACAGAGAAAUUGCCGACGUUGGCCCCAAAAUGUCAUUUUUAAGGUAUGGAACUGGAGUUGCUGUCCUCACAGUAUCCCUCAUGAGACCUUAGGAAGAGCAGAGCCAGACCUUUUCUUGUGUCAUACCAUACAUGACAAGGCCGGGAGCCAGGAGGGCUGGUGCUCAGGACACCUUCUCCUGGGGCACUGCCAAGGACAGUGGCAGUAUCCUCCCACGGAGAGUGGUGGGCCCCGGCCCCGGACACAAAGCAUCCAUCCCCAACGCUCACCCGACCCUCCCCUCGAGACCUACUUUUGCUGGGAAAGGCAAGGUAACCUCGCCACUGAAAAUAGCUGGGACGGCAGCCAACGGAGAUUAAUGGCAUCAUUAACGUCCGCAGUUUAUUUAUAGGCUUAAAAAUGCCUCGGACCUGCAAACUGAGCAGAGUUGCUCUGUGUAGCACAGGGACUACCAGGUCUCCUGCUUCUGCCUUUCCCCUUCCUGCUAUUUUAUCCUGAUCGCUGGGACUGUAAAACCUCUGCAGCAGGGGUUGUCUCUCAUUGUAAACCUACUUUGUAAACCUUCCUAACUAGGGGGGAACUCACAGAUACCUUUUUUUCCAUGAAUGCUGUAUUUGUCUGGUCUCCUUCCUCCACCCAACUCUUCCUGUGCUCACUGUCCUGUGGCCUCUCUUUGGGAAAACUCUCUUUUUGACAAAUUCCUGAGGCACGGGCUGAGCAGUCAGCACAGGAGUUAGUUAGUGAUUUUCCACCUUGGGUUUUAAACUGUGAGCUCUGUGACAGGAGGACUGGGAAUCUCAUACAUGUGGAGAGCAUCUAGGACAUGUGGGGCUCUAGUGAGACAUGCAGAUGUAAUUAAUGACCAUGGAGGUCUUCCUAUGGGAGCCAGCAGGGCCAGCCCAGCUCCCAGGUCCUCCAGGAACCUCAUGGGACUGUCAAGAAAAGAAAAAAACACCCUGAGUGUGUUGGUCCCAGAAGAGGAGUUUUUGGCACAUGACCUGUGGCCGCACCACCUGGCCUGUUUCCCAACACUCAGUGAAAGGUAAGUGAGGAAGGAGGCUUGUUGUUAGCAGGCAAAAAUCCAAGGGAUCGUCUUUGUGACUGGGAGAUGGCUCCAUGGGUAGGAGAAAAAAGGUAAAAAUGCCAGUAGGGGCACGUCCCACCCAGAAACACGGAUAACCAGCAUGGCACCCCACAGAGGUGAGGUUGCUGCAGAGGGCAAACAUCCUUUACUUUGCUGUUGGUUUUUUUGUUGUAUCAAUCUGAGAUAAACUGUGUCAGUCUCUCCUUCAUCCUCAGUCUGCCAGGGGCUGAAAUAAAGAACCAGCAGAGAA
Phalacrocorax carbo (great cormorant) is the source of this 5742-nucleotide non-coding RNA. The record is from RefSeq and is a predicted model, not a curated record. Lineage: Eukaryota; Metazoa; Chordata; Aves; Suliformes; Phalacrocoracidae.